CUACGGGAGGCAGCAGUAGGGAAUCUUCCGCAAUGGGCGAAAGCCUGACGGAGCAACGCCGCGUGAGUGAUGAAGGUCUUCGGAUCGUAAAACUCUGUUAUUAGGGAAGAACAUAUGUGUAAGUAACUGUGCACAUCUUGACGGUACCUAAUCAAAAAGCCACGGCUAACUACGUGCCAGCAGCCGCGGUAAUACGUAGGUGGCAAGCGUUAUCCGGAAUUACUGGGCGUAAAGCGCGCGUAGGCGGUUUGUUAAGUCUGAUGUGAAAGCCCACGGCUCAACCGGGGAGGGUCAUUGGAAACUGGAAAACUUGAGUGCGGAAGAGGAAGGUGGAAUUCCAUGUGUAGCGGUGAAAUGCGCAGAGAUAUGGAGGAACACCAGUGGCGAAGGCGACUUUCUGGUCUGUAACUGACGCUGAUGUGCGAAAGCGUGGGGAUCAAACAGGAUUAGAUACCCUGGUAGUCC
Molecule: ribosomal RNA, 465 nt
Filed under: Staphylococcus aureus
Lineage: Bacteria; Bacillati; Bacillota; Bacilli; Caryophanales; Staphylococcaceae
Description: bacterial SSU rRNA
Rfam family: Bacterial small subunit ribosomal RNA
Source: RNAcentral